GCCGAACUCAGCACCUAAGUGAUGUGACUCUCCUGUUUUGCCUGGGCCCUGCAUAUAUUUGGCACUGUGACAAAUCUCUGGAACAAAUACCCAGGGCAUGAGAGGCUCCUGCCUGGGACCUGCCCAAAAGCGGCCUUUUGGCAUAUCUCUGCAUCAAUUAACUAGCAGAUAUAACUCUUCUUUUCUGCCUAGGUUCUGCCAAAACAAGUGAUUGCGACAUAUCAUUGGACCAGCAACUAGAUGAUGUGACUCUUCUCUUCUGCCUGAGCCCUGGAUAUACUGUGUAUUGUGACACAUGGCUGAGUCCAACAUCAAGGUGAUGUGACUGACCACUUCUGCCUGGGCCAUGCUGAAAAAAGGAGAUUGUGACAUAUCACUGCAUUCAAUACCUAGAUG
Molecule: long non-coding RNA, 396 nt
Filed under: Pan troglodytes (chimpanzee)
Lineage: Eukaryota; Metazoa; Chordata; Mammalia; Primates; Hominidae
Description: long non-coding RNA NONPTRT008040
Source: RNAcentral